UAGAGCUAACUGUAGUAACUAAUCCAGCUCGAACUAAUCAUGGCUCAAAGUCAAAGUCAGGACGGGAUUCACUUUGUUUUUGGUUCAAUGCAUAUCAGCUGUAGCCUGCCAAAGUAUUGAGCCUGCAACGCCACCGUGGGAGGCUACUAGUCUAAACUUUCGGUGUCUUGAACUCUUGAAUGGCUUGACCUCGGAUUUGACUGGCUAUAUGUAUUUAGAUUGAGAAAAAGAAUCAAUAACUGAGCAAUUGUAAACUAUUGGAACUAAUGAUGUCUAUGUGAAAUGGUAAUAGCACAAGGACACAAAAACUCCAUUUGGAACCUCAAUUUUUAUAAUUAAUUUUUGUUGAUAUAAAAGAUUACUGCUCUUGUAAAAUUGUGUACUGCUAUUUUUACAGUUUUUAACUUAUUUGAAGUGAUUUUAUUGUGUUAUAUUUCAUUGUUAAUUUAUGUAAAUCAUUGAUACUUUAUUGUGAAGUUUAAUGGCGAAUAGUAAAUUUUACUUCAAAAGAAAA
Long non-coding RNA from Amphimedon queenslandica, 514 nucleotides. RefSeq lists it as uncharacterized. The record is from RefSeq and is a predicted model, not a curated record. NCBI's taxonomy places the organism in Eukaryota, Metazoa, Porifera, Demospongiae, Haplosclerida, Niphatidae. The transcript is spliced from 4 exons.